GACGAACGCUGGCGGCGUGCUUAAUACAUGCAAGUCAACGACUUUUAGAGUAGCAAUAUUUUAAAGGAAGUGGCGCACGGGUGAGUAACACGUAGGUAAUCUGCCUUCAGGACUGACACAACUCGUCGAAAGACGGGCUAAUAUCAGAUAAUGCAGCGGCUCCGCAUGGAGACAGUUGUUAAAGUACAAGCGCCUGAAGAUGAGCCUGCGGUCCAUUAGCUAGUUGGUAGAGUAACAGCCUACCAAGGCAACGAUGGAUAGCUGGUCUGAGAGGAUGAUCAGCCACACUGGAACUGAGACACGGUCCAGACUCCUACGGGAGCAGCAGUAAGGAAUAUUGCUCAAUGGCCGAAGGCUGAAGCAGCAACGCCGCGUGAAGG
This 380-nucleotide ribosomal RNA is filed under the name uncultured bacterium. Its description in RNAcentral is "bacterial SSU rRNA". It matches the Rfam family "Bacterial small subunit ribosomal RNA", at positions 28 to 407 of the family's 1533-position model. The record is from RNAcentral.